UGGGGAAUUUUGACAAUGGGCGAAAGCCUGAUCCAGCAAUGCCGCGUGUGUGAAGAAGGCCUUCGGGUUGUAAAGCACUUUUGUCCGGAAAGAAAUCCUUGGCUCUAAUACAGUCGGGGGAUGACGGUACCGGAAGAAUAAGCACCGGCUAACUACGUGCCAGCAGCCGCGGUAAUACGUAGGGUGCAAGCGUUAAUCGGAAUUACUGGGCGUAAAGCGUGCGCAGGCGGUUUGCUAAGACCGAUGUGAAAUCCCCGGGCUCAACCUGGGAACUGCAUUGGUGACUGGCAGGCUAGAGUAUGGCAGAGGGGGGUAGAAUUCCACGUGUAGCAGUGAAAUGCGUAGAGAUGUGGAGGAAUACCGAUGGCGAAGGCAGCCCCCU
This 382-nucleotide ribosomal RNA is filed under the name uncultured bacterium. Its description in RNAcentral is "partial 16S ribosomal RNA". It matches the Rfam family "Bacterial small subunit ribosomal RNA", at positions 355 to 730 of the family's 1533-position model. The record is from RNAcentral.